RNAcentral lists this long non-coding RNA (630 nucleotides) under Phoenix dactylifera (date palm). RNAcentral describes it as "long non-coding RNA (PDAC_LNC013735)". Lineage: Eukaryota; Viridiplantae; Streptophyta; Magnoliopsida; Arecales; Arecaceae. The record is from RNAcentral.
AUCUCUCCACUCGCCUACUAUCAUCAUGUCUCUCCGUAACUCGAUCAGGGCUAUACCCUACUUCGCCGCCUACAAUUAAUGCGCAUGACCUGUUCUGACCCCUGGCACACUCAACCAUUAAAGCGUAUGGCCCCUGCUGAUCUCCGGUUCACUCAACAAUUAAAGCGUAUGGCCUCUACUGAUCUCCGGUUCACUUAACAAUUAAAGCGUAUGGCCUCUACUGAUCUCCGGUUCACUCAAACAAUCAAUGCUCAUGUCAUCUCCGGACCUCAACGCCUCCACGGCAGGCAGUUGAACCACUCCACCACGUCUGAUCAGCCACGACGACUUACUGACUCCGGUUUGAUCUCCCAUGACACCAUUAAUGCACAUGAUCGUGUUCAAUUAUGACAAAAAGGGUGAUCUGCCCCGUCACUUCACAGUAAUACGAUACUCCUCUAUAAAAGGGGAACCCCUCCACCUUAGUGGGGGUUGGACACCGGAAAAACCCAAGAAAAACAUCUCCCCUCUCCUCUCACAUGUUAGCCCCCUCUAACUUAAGCAUCGGAGGGCCGGCGCCAGAAACCCCGGCCACCGGUUUCUUGCAGGUCUCCCGAAGGACGCUGACCGCCGACAAACCGCCGCUCCCCC